CGAUGUCAACUAGUUGUUCGUGUCUUUGAGACGUGAGUAACGCAGCUAACGCACUAAGUUGACCGCCUGGGGAGUACGGCCGCAAGGUUAAAACUCAAAUGAAUUGACGGGGGCCCGCACAAGCGGUGGAGCAUGUGGUUUAAUUCGAUGCAACGCGAAGAACCUUACCAUCCCUUGACAUCCAGAGAAUUUUCUAGAGAUAGAUUAGUGCCUUCGGGAACUCUGAGACAGGUGCUGCAUGGCUGUCGUCAGCUCGUGUUGUGAGAUGUUGGGUUAAGUCCCGCAACGAGCGCAACCCUUAUCCUUAGUUGCCAGCACUAAGGUGGGAACUCUAGGGAGACUGCCGGUGAUAAACCGGAGGAAGGUGGGGACGACGUCAAGUCAUCAUGGCCCUUACGGGAUGGGCUACACACGUGCUACAAUGGCGCACACAAAGGGCAGCAAGCGCGCGAGUGCAAGCGAAUCUCAAAAAGUGCGUCGUAGUCCGGAUUGGAGUCUGCAACUCGACUCCAUGAAGUCGGAAUCGCUAGUAAUCGUGGAUCAGAAUGCCACGGUGAAUACGUUCCCGGGCCUUGUACACACCGCCCGUCACACCAUGGGAGUGGGCUGCACCAGAAGUAGAUAGCUUAACCUUCGGGAGGGCGUUUACCACGGUGUGGUUCAUGACUGGGGUG
This 674-nucleotide ribosomal RNA is filed under the name uncultured bacterium. RNAcentral's name for it is "bacterial SSU rRNA". It matches the Rfam family "Bacterial small subunit ribosomal RNA", at positions 807 to 1482 of the family's 1533-position model. The record is from RNAcentral.